AUGGCGACGGAUCGCGCCGAUCUCAUCAGCAAUCUCCCCGACGCGUGGCUCGGCGUCGUCGCCUCCCUCGACCCUCCUCCCCACCAAGGAGGGCUGCCGAACGCAGUUGCUCUCGCGCCGCUGGCGCCACAUCUGGCGCUCUGCGCCGCUCAACCUCGACGGCAUACCCGAGAAGACCAUCUCCGCCAUCCUCUCCACCCACCUUGGCUCGUCUACAAGUACCACGGCUACGGCAGCGCCGUGAUACCACCCUCAGUGUUCCGCCAUGAGCCCGCACUCCACGUGGCCACAUUCGGUAGCUGCCGUCUGCCGCCCAACCUAGUCGUGGACUUCCCGCUGCUCCAGCAGCUUACCUUGUACAAGGUCGUCCUAACGGAAGAAUCUCUGAGCGCCGUGCUUUCUGGUUGUCCUGAGUUGGAGAGUCUUCUGCUAGACAGCAAUGUUGGCUCCGCCAUCAUCCGCAUCAAUUCCAUGGCUCUGAGGAGCAUCGGCUUCAGUGCUCCUUGGGACAAUCUAGUAGACUCUUAG
This 528-nucleotide ribosomal RNA is filed under the name Triticum aestivum (bread wheat). RNAcentral describes it as "partial small subunit ribosomal RNA". Lineage: Eukaryota; Viridiplantae; Streptophyta; Magnoliopsida; Poales; Poaceae. The record is from RNAcentral.